Camellia sinensis is the source of this 336-nucleotide long non-coding RNA. RefSeq lists it as uncharacterized. NCBI's taxonomy places the organism in Eukaryota, Viridiplantae, Streptophyta, Magnoliopsida, Ericales, Theaceae. The record is from RefSeq and is a predicted model, not a curated record.
UGUGGUAUGGAAAUACUAUGGUUGGUUAGUUCUGUUACAUUUUCUUUUAUGAAUUUCAUAUUGCCUCCAAUCUUAACUAAAUUAACCAAAUGUAUUCACUCUCUGCUUCAUAUGCAGGAAAAGCUUCGGCAGACUCGUGAAUUAUAUGCCUCCUUUAAUGCAAUGUUGGAGAUAAAAGACUUGAUGCUAAAGAAGACUUCUUUGUUAAACUCUAUAAACCCACCAAUUUGACAUUUUUAAAGAGGUCAUUGUCAGACGACAACAUUCUUUGUGAAAGCAAUUCACCCAUUGAAGCCACUGAUGUUUGACAAAAUGAAUAUCACAAUCAGCCUUUGC